CAGUGAGCCACACCAGAGAAACAGCACAGCAGCAGGCCCCAUUUCCUGAAGUUAAUGAUGAUGUCACAUACAGCACUGUCAUCCCCCAGCACAAGGCUCAACUAAAAGUACAGGCCAAGGCAGCAGAACCAGAUGAUAAUGUGGUCUACAGCUCACUAGCUCUACAGGUGACCACACAGGUCAGUGUUGGUGUCUCCUCUGUCUGUUGUACCAGAUGAU
Long non-coding RNA from Coregonus clupeaformis (lake whitefish), 219 nucleotides. RefSeq lists it as uncharacterized. The record is from RefSeq and is a predicted model, not a curated record. Lineage: Eukaryota; Metazoa; Chordata; Actinopteri; Salmoniformes; Salmonidae. The transcript is spliced from 3 exons.